CUACGGGGGGCAGCAGUCGAGAAUCUUUCGCAAUGGACGCAAGUCUGACGAUGCGACGCCGCGUGAGCGAUGAAGGUCUUCGGAUCGUAAAGCUCUGUCAAGCGGGACGAACGUCCUGAAGGCUAAUAGCCUGAUGGGCUGACUGUGCUGCUAGAGGAAGCCACGGCUAACUCCGUGCCAGCAGCCACGGUAAUACGGAGGUGGCGAACGUUGUUCGGAUUCAUUGGGUGUAAAGGGUAUGUAGGUGGCCUUGUAAGUCGGAUGUGAAAUCCUUUGGCUUAACCAAAGAACUGCAUUCGAAACUGCUUGGCUUGAGUUUUGGAGAGGAGAGUGGAAUUCCCGGUGUAAGAGUGAAAUCUGUAGAUACCGGGAGGAACACCAGUGGCGAAAGCGACUCUCUGGCCAAAAACUGACACUGAAAUACGAAAGCUAGAGUAGCAAACAGGAUUAGAUACCCGUGUAGUC
Molecule: ribosomal RNA, 465 nt
Filed under: uncultured bacterium
Lineage: Bacteria
Description: partial 16S ribosomal RNA
Rfam family: Bacterial small subunit ribosomal RNA
Source: RNAcentral